Molecule: ribosomal RNA, 894 nt
Filed under: uncultured bacterium
Lineage: Bacteria
Description: bacterial SSU rRNA
Rfam family: Bacterial small subunit ribosomal RNA
Source: RNAcentral
AGAGUUUGAUCCUGGCUCAGGAUGAACGCUAGCUACAGGCUUAACACAUGCAAGUCGAGGGGAAACGACAUCGAAAGCUUGCUUUUGAUGGGCGUCGACCGGCGCACGGGUGAGUAACGCGUAUCCAACCUGCCCACCACUUGGGGAUAACCUUGCGAAAGUAAGACUAAUACCCAAUGACGUCUCUAGAAGACAUCUGAAAGAGAUUAAAGAUUUAUCGGUGAUGGAUGGGGAUGCGUCUGAUUAGCUUGUUGGCGGGGUAACGGCCCACCAAGGCGACGAUCAGUAGGGGUUCUGAGAGGAAGGUCCCCCACAUUGGAACUGAGACACGGUCCAAACUCCUACGGGAGGCAGCAGUGAGGAAUAUUGGUCAAUGGACGAGAGUCUGAACCAGCCAAGUAGCGUGCAGGAUGACGGCCCUAUGGGUUGUAAACUGCUUUUAUAAGGGAAUAAAGUGAGUCUCGUGAGACUUUUUGCAUGUACCUUAUGAAUAAGGACCGGCUAAUUCCGUGCCAGCAGCCGCGGUAAUACGGAAGGUCCGGGCGUUAUCCGGAUUUAUUGGGUUUAAAGGGAGCGUAGGCCGGAGAUUAAGCGUGUUGUGAAAUGUAGACGCUCAACGUCUGCACUGCAGCGCGAACUGGUUUCCUUGAGUACGCACAAAGUGGGCGGAAUUCGUGGUGUAGCGGUGAAAUGCUUAGAUAUCACGAAGAACUCCGAUUGCGAAGGCAGCUCACUGGAGCGCAACUGACGCUGAAGCUCGAAAGUGCGGGUAUCGAACAGGAUUAGAUACCCUGGUAGUCCGCACGGUAAACGAUGGAUGCCCGCUGUUGGUCUGAAUAGGUCAGCGGCCAAGCGAAAGCAUUAAGCAUCCCACCUGGGGAGUACGCCGGCAAC